UACGUAGGGUGCAAGCGUUAAUCGGAAUUACUGGGCGUAAAGCGUGCGCAGGCGGUGAUGUAAGACAGAUGUGAAAUCCCCGGGCUUAACCUGGGAACUGCAUUUGUGACUGCAUCGCUGGAGUGCGGCAGAGGGGGAUGGAAUUCCGCGUGUAGCAGUGAAAUGCGUAGAUAUGCGGAGGAACACCGAUGGCGAAGGCAAUCCCCUGGGCCUGCACUGACGCUUAUGCACGAAAGCGUGGGGAGCAAACAGG
Molecule: ribosomal RNA, 253 nt
Filed under: uncultured bacterium
Lineage: Bacteria
Description: partial 16S ribosomal RNA
Rfam family: Bacterial small subunit ribosomal RNA
Source: RNAcentral